Molecule: ribosomal RNA, 914 nt
Filed under: uncultured archaeon
Lineage: Archaea
Description: bacterial SSU rRNA
Rfam family: Archaeal small subunit ribosomal RNA
Source: RNAcentral
CCAUUGGGGGUGGGAUAGAAUGCAGUUGUGCGUCUCUAAGCCAUGGUAGAGACGCGGCAUACGGCUCAGUAACACGUGGCUAACCUACCCUUAGGACGGGGACAACCCCGGGAAACUGGGGCUAAUAUCCGAUAGGUGAGGAGGCCUGGAAUGGUUCCUAGUCGAAAAGGCGUUGAAACCAUGCUUUUCGACGUCGCCUAAGGAUGGGGCCGCGCCCGAUCAGGUUGUUGGUGGGGCAACGGCUCACCAAGCCUAUAACCGGUACGGGCCGUGAGAGCGGGAGCCCGGAGAUGGGCACUGAGACAAAGACCCAGGCCCUACGGGGCGCAGCAGUCGCGAAAACUCCGCAAUGCACGAAAGUGUGACGGGGCUACCCCGAGUGCUCUCCGCUGAGGAAAGCUUUUCCCUGGUAUAACUAGCCAGGGGAAUAAGGAGAGGGCAAGACUGGUGUCAGCCGCCGCGGUAAUACCAGCUCUCCGAGUGGUAGGGAUGAUUAUUGGGCUUAAAGCGUCCGUAGCCGGCUUAGCAAGUCUCCUGUUAAACUCAGCGACUUAAUCGUUGAAUCGCGGGAGAUACUAUUAGGCUAGGAGGCGGGAGAGGUCGACGGUACUUCUGGGGUAGGGGUGAAAUCCUAUAAUCCCGGGAGGACCACCAGCGGCGAAGGCUGCUGACUAGAACACGCCUGACGGUGAGGGACGAAAGCUGGGGUAGCGAAUCGGAUUAGAUACCCGAGUAGUCCCAGCCGUAAACGAUGCAGGCUAGGUGUUGGGUCGGCCACGCGCCGCCUCAGUGCCACAGGGAAGCCAUUAAGCCUGCCGCCUGGGGAGUACGGCCGCAAGGCUGAAACUUAAAGGAAUUGGCGGGGGAGCACCACAAGGCGUGAAGCUUGCGGUUCAAUUGGAUUCAACGCCGGA